RNAcentral lists this ribosomal RNA (468 nucleotides) under uncultured bacterium. Its description in RNAcentral is "partial 16S ribosomal RNA". It matches the Rfam family "Bacterial small subunit ribosomal RNA", at positions 28 to 507 of the family's 1533-position model. The record is from RNAcentral.
GACGAACGCUGGCGGCGUGCUUAACACAUGCAAGUCGAACGGAAAGGCCCUGCGCUUGUUGGGUGCUUGUUAGGCGAGGGGGGGUGUAACACGCGAGUAACCCGCCCUUGACUGUGGGAUAAAUUUUGGAAACUCGGGCGAAUACCCGAGAUGAGCUUCUGCUCCACGGUGUGCGAUGGAAAGUUCCGGUGGUGGGGGCUGGUCUCGCGGCUUAUGCGCUGCUUGGGGAGGUAGUGGCUUACCAAGGUUGUGACGGGUAGCCGACAUGAGAGGGUGACGGGCCACAUUAGGACUGAGAUACGGCCCAGACGCCAACGGGACGCAGCGGUGGGAAGUAUUACACAGUGGGCGGACGCCAGAGGCGGCGACGCCGCGUGCGGGAUGACGGCUUUCGGGUUGUAAACCGCUUUCGCCUGUGACGAAGCGUGAGUGACGGUAAUGGGUAAGAAAGCACCGGCUAACUACGUG